UACAGAGGUCUCAAGCGUUGUUCGGAUUCAUUGGGCGUAAAGGGUGCGUAGGCGGCGCGGUAAGUCGGGUGUGAAAUCUCGGAGCUUAACUCCGAAACUGCAUUCGAUACUGCCGUGCUUGAGGACUGGAGAGGAGACUGGAAUUUACGGUGUAGCGGUGAAAUGCGUAGAUAUCGUAAGGAAGACCAGUGGCGAAGGCGGGUCUCUGGACAGUUCCUGACGCUGAGGCACGAAGGUCAGGGGAGCAAACGGU
Molecule: ribosomal RNA, 253 nt
Filed under: uncultured bacterium
Lineage: Bacteria
Description: partial 16S ribosomal RNA
Rfam family: Bacterial small subunit ribosomal RNA
Source: RNAcentral